UACAAGGCAAUAAAUGACUCUUUUCUGGAUCCUUAGAGUUUACCCAGCACAUUUAUGGGGCUAUUUGUUGCCCUGAGUACUUAUGUAUUUCCUGUCAAUUAUUUUGGUUUGCCGGUUACCUUCUGUUUAUAAUGCAUCCAAGACAUUUCCUGUGUGAUUUCUUUGAGUUAAAGUUGGUAUACCUGGACAGGAGGAACUACACUGUAACUCUUGAUUUUUUCUUCUAAUCCUUAUUGGAUUAGCUCUUGUGCCUUAAAACAUUUCUUGGUGGAUAAGCAAGUGCUUCCUCCUUAGAGAAUUAAACUCUUCCUCUUGAGGGGACCACUCAAUGUCAGGAGGCAGGACAUAGGAUCGUUCUGUGCAUAAUUCCUGAGAUGAUCCUCUAAAGCCUUAUCCCCACACUUUCUCCUCCAACAAACUUUUAAGCACAAGGAAAGGCAAAUGACCCAGAGAAUGGAAAAGCGAACAAAGAUCUUCCACAGCAUUCAUGAGACCCCUCUUGGAAGCAAAUAACUGAG
This is a long non-coding RNA of Sarcophilus harrisii (Tasmanian devil), 518 nucleotides long. RefSeq lists it as uncharacterized. NCBI's taxonomy places the organism in Eukaryota, Metazoa, Chordata, Mammalia, Dasyuromorphia, Dasyuridae. The transcript has 5 exons. The record is from RefSeq and is a predicted model, not a curated record.